This is an RNA transcript of Sceloporus undulatus (fence lizard), 1993 nucleotides long. It is a transcript of the gene named alkylglycerol monooxygenase, with no coding region annotated. NCBI's taxonomy places the organism in Eukaryota, Metazoa, Chordata, Lepidosauria, Squamata, Phrynosomatidae. The transcript is spliced from 14 exons. The record is from RefSeq and is a predicted model, not a curated record.
CACAGCCUGGCGCCUCUUGGGCGACCUUUGCGCUCCCAGAGUUGACAAAAACAAGUCCCUGCCUUCGCCUCCAGUGCGCUUUUACGCGCCAUCCCUGGCUUCUGUGAAAGGAGCAGCAGCAGCAGCAGCAGUUGUUUCCCUUUCUGGCCUCAGGGCUGUUUCCCUCGCUCUCCAGUGGACUUUGCCCCAGCUGAAGGCCCAGAAAGAAAGGCAGGGACUCCCUUCUUCCCGCCUCUUCGGCCUCGCCUCUUCUCCUCAGACCCCCUUCAGCAGCCCAGCCAUGGCCUCCCCAUCCCUCUCCCAGCAGCUCCGCGGCCUCUUUUACGCCCUCAGCCCCAACGAGAGCUCCUUCGCCGGCGUCGAGGAGGUGCCCGAUUACGUGGAGCAGGCAACUCCUUUGUUCAUUACCCUGAUUCUUCUGGAGUUUGUUAUUAAGUGGGCUCAGAAGGGACAUUCAUCAGCUCGGGUCAAUGAUGGCAUAGCAUGUCUCUCUGCAGGUGUUCUGUCUCGACUUCCAGAUGCUUUGUCUAGAAGUGUUGAGGUAUCAACAUACAUUUAUACAUGGGAAAACUAUAGACUUCUUGAAUUGCCCUGGGACUCUCCAUGGACAUGGUACUUGACAUUCCUUGGAGUAGAUUUUGGAUACUACUGGUUUCAUCGCAUGGCCCAUGAGAUUAAUCUACUGUGGGCAGGACACCAAGUUCAUCAUAGUUCAGAGGAUUAUAAUUUAUUCACAGCAUUAAGGCAAUCUGUUUUGCAGAAAUACACAUCUUGGAUAUUCUAUUUGCCAAUGGCUUUCUUUAUUCCACCUUCAUUGUAUGCGGUUCAUCUCCAGUUUAAUCUGCUUUACCAAUUCUGGAUACACACAGAGGUUAUUAGCAAUCUUGGUCCUUUGGAGUUUCUUCUCAAUACCCCCAGUCAUCACAGAGUACAUCAUGGCAGAAAUCCAUAUUGCAUUGAUAAAAACUAUGGUGGCACACUGAUUAUUUGGGACAGAAUUUUUGGAACAUUUGCUGCAGAAAAAGAUAAAGUUAUAUAUGGCCUAACACACCCUAUAAACACCUUCGAACCUUUCAAGAUCCAGUUUCAUCAUUGCAUUUAUAUAUGGAAGACAUUUUGGAAUACACCUGGUUUCUGCAAUAAGCUUUCUGUUAUAUUCAAGGGGCCAGGAUGGGGUCCUGGCAAGCCAAGACUGGGCCUUCUUGAGGACAUCCCCAAGAUUACUGGAAAUGAAGUUCCAUUCAGUCCCAAAUUGUCAAGCUACCUUUCUGUCUAUGCUGUUAUUCACUUUGUAUUGAUGCUGGGAUUUUAUAUUGAUUUGUUUGCUUCCAAAUCUACGUUAUCACAGGUAACUCUGCUCAUGAGAGUUGGCUACAUUAUCCUGACAUUGACCUCUAUUGGUUUCCUGGUGGAGCAAAGACCUGAAGCUGCUUUCUUGGAAUUUGCUCGCUGUUCUGCUUUUCUUGCUCUGCACAAACUUGGCUACUUGAAAACUUAUAUUGCACUUCUGUCAAUCACAUAUGAGAAAACUAUAUCUACUUCUGUGCAGAAUAAUUCCAUGAAGCACUUUGAGAUGUGAGAACGUUGGAGGAAUCCUGUGCAAAAUUAUACCUUUUCUCCUGCAAUGGGCAGAAAAGUGUCAUUUUCACUCUUCAUUGCUUUUUGGGGAAUACAAAUUAUGAAGCAACUCGCCUCAACUGCAACAAAUCAUCACUGAAAAGAAGCCUGACAGAUUUGUUAUUUUAAUUACAGAUAAAAUACAUUCCUCUGACAGAGAUGUGACAUGGCUUUUAUUUGUCGGUUUAAGUUCACCUUCUUCAGUUUUAAUUUUUGAAUCAUUGCUUGAAAUUAAUGUUAGGAUGAUUUCAUUUUUGUAUAUUCAGGAAGUUCCAAAACUGUAUAAUCUAAAAUGUAUGUUUUGCAACAGUUUCAUUCAUGUGGAAGCAACACUGUUUAUGUUAAUCUGUUUAAUUAAAACAAAUAAACCCCUUGA